This 409-nucleotide RNase P RNA is filed under the name human gut metagenome. RNAcentral's name for it is "Bacterial RNase P class A". It matches the Rfam family "Bacterial RNase P class A", at positions 64 to 363 of the family's 367-position model. Rfam says of the family: Ribonuclease P (RNase P) is a ubiquitous endoribonuclease, found in archaea, bacteria and eukarya as well as chloroplasts and mitochondria. Its best characterised activity is the generation of mature 5'-ends of tRNAs by cleaving the 5'-leader elements of precursor-tRNAs. The record is from RNAcentral.
GGCAAGGAUAACGGGUAACGCCCGCCGAAGGCGACUUCAGGAAAAGUGCAACAGAGAUAUACCGCCGGCCAUUGCCCGUCAAUGGAGUUAACCGUCCGGCGGUCGCAGUCGGCGCAAAGCGCCGGCUACGCCCGCCUUUCUUUGGGUAGCCCCAUUCAAAUUGGGCAGACUCCUUGAAAACGGUCGAAAUCAUUGACGGGCAAUGGGCGGUAAGGGUGGAAAGGCGGAGAUAAGCGCCCGCCCGAUGACUGGAAACUGCUCAUCGCUGUAAACUCUAUCCGGAGCAACACCGUGGUAACGCAACAGGCCGGCCCGGCCGCGUUUAGGAGGUGGCUGGAGCGUGCCGGUGACGGCACGCCAAGAUAGAUGGCUGUCUUAAAGGACAGAACCCGGCUUACAGGCUUGCUCG